GGCGUAGGACGAACGCUGGCGGCGUGCUUAACACAUGCAAGUCGAGCGAUGAAGCUCUUCGGGAGUGGAUUAGCGGCGGACGGGUGGAGUAACAACGUGGGUAACCGUGCCUCAUAGAGGGGAAUAGCCUUCCGAAAGGAAGAUUAAUACCGCAUAAGAUUGUAAUAUCGCAUGAUAUAGCAAUUAAAGGAGCAAUCCGCUAUGAGAUGGACCCGCGUCGCAUUAGCUAGUUGGUGAGGUAACGGCUCACCAAGGCGACGAUGCGUAGCCGACCUGGGAGGGUGAUCGGCCACAUUGGGACUGAGACACGGCCCAGACUCCUACGGGAGGCAGCAGUGGGGAAUAUUGCACAAUGGGGGAAACCCUGAUGCAAGCAACGCCGCGUGAGUGAUGACGGUCUUCGGAUUGUAAAGCUCUGUCUUCAGGGACGAUAAUGACGGUACCUGAGGAGGAAGCCACGGCUAACUACGUGCCAGCCGCGGC
Molecule: ribosomal RNA, 483 nt
Filed under: uncultured bacterium
Lineage: Bacteria
Description: bacterial SSU rRNA
Rfam family: Bacterial small subunit ribosomal RNA
Source: RNAcentral